GACUCAGGACGAACGCUGGCGGCGUGCCUAACACAUGCAAGUCGAGCGAGGAGAUUCCUUCGGGAUGAUCCUAGCGGCGGACGGGUGAGUAACACGUGGGCAACCUGCCUCAUAGAGAGGAAUAGCCUUCCGAAAGGAGAUUAAUACCUCAUAACAUUGCAGUUUCGCAUGGAACAGCAAUUAAAGGAGUAAUCCGCUAUGAGAUGGGCCCGCGGCGCAUUAGCUAGUUGGUGAGGUAACGGCUCACCAAGGCGACGAUGCGUAGCCGACCUGAGAGGGUGAUCGGCCACAUUGGGACUGAGACACGGCCCAGACUCCUACGGGAGGCAGCAGUGGGGAAUAUUGCACAAUGGGGGAAACCCUGAUGCCAGCAACGCCGCGUGAGUGAUGACGGCCUUCGGGUUGUAAAGCUCUGUCUUCAGGGACGAUAAUGACGGUACCUGAGGAGGAAGCCACGGCUAACUACGUGCCAGCCGCCGC
Molecule: ribosomal RNA, 480 nt
Filed under: uncultured bacterium
Lineage: Bacteria
Description: bacterial SSU rRNA
Rfam family: Bacterial small subunit ribosomal RNA
Source: RNAcentral